Molecule: long non-coding RNA, 902 nt
Filed under: Macaca mulatta (Rhesus monkey)
Lineage: Eukaryota; Metazoa; Chordata; Mammalia; Primates; Cercopithecidae
Description: lncRNA (ENSMMUG00000061415.1)
Source: RNAcentral
GUACGUUCCAUCAAUACCGAAUUUAUUGAGCGUUUUUAGCAUGAAGGGCUGUUGAAUUUUCUCAAAGGCCUUUUUGGUUCUUAUCAACAUUUUAAACAUUUAGAAACCUUUUACAAAAUAAUUCUGAGAAUUCCAUUAUGAAAAAAUCAUGAGAUUUGCAAAAAUAUGUUAACAAAGUGGGAGUCAUAAAACAAAAGAAAUAUCAAUGUGAAGUUACUUACAUUGUGGUCAGAGUGCAAUAAAGAAUUGAGUUAUACUUGAUACAUUAAAAAAUUAAGUCAGAAUGUACAUUUUAUCUCUUACAGUGAGAAUUGACAACUAGAGAUGGCCAGGGCUCAGGAGGAAGCCUCCGAGCACUCCCGGGAACAGACAAUGUGGAUCAAGUUUACUCUCAUUACACUGGCUUUUACCUAGGACUAUUCUCAAUAUUGAGCUGUUGUUACUGCAGAACCAAGUUCACCUGUGGAAGCUCCUUGCUGAAGCUAGUUUUCUAUCAACUCAUCCGUCAGGCCUAGCAGGUGUCUGAGGAUCUCACUAUCCCUCUGCAGUUUUUGCAUUUCAGAGCAGCUCUCUCACCUUCCAUUGAAUCUAAUUUGACAUCCAAGCUGUGCCACCAUUCUUUGUCUAAACUGUAAGUCAGGGGAGACAGAAUCCAAUCUUUUGUAUAGUGCAUUCUCUUUUCUGUAGUAAGUUCCUAAAAAUCCUACUGACUACUCCAAUUCCUCCUCUAGCUCAACACUGUUAGAGUUGCCCCACAAGCAAGGGCAAGGAAAUUUUCACACAGGACUGCCCCCAAACAGUCCUUUUUGAUGUGAUGAUAAGUGGAAUUGUUUUCUUCAUUUUAUUUUUAUUGUUGACUGCCUUUAUUUAAAGUACAGUCUUCUUUGGUAUGCGGAUAUUAU